CGCUCACUUGUACCUGGCGUUUACCUGGCGAGGGCUGUGUGUGGCGUGCUUUGUGUGUGUCGUGCUCCGGUUUCUGUACCCAAACUUGGGACUCAUAAGCGGCGUCGGCCGUUCCUGUCGUGUGUAGCUUCGGAGGGGACUUUGAAAAGCGUGGUGUCUGCUCUUCCUCACUGUGAGACGGUGACUGGGUUUGAGCUGUGCGCUGUGCGUUAAGCUCCCUUCGCUCCGCCGAGGCCACAGCUUGUGGCUUCUUCUCCUCCUCUGCGCACUGUGUGGGGCUGCACUCCGCAGCCCGGUGACGUGGGCCGCCAGCUGGGCAUCCCGAAGGCCUCCAGCCCCGGUGCGGCUGCUCCGUUUUCCACUGCUGUUCUGCCAGUUUUCCACAGACUGAUUAAAGCACACUGUAAUGCAG
Epinephelus lanceolatus (giant grouper) is the source of this 412-nucleotide non-coding RNA. The record is from RefSeq and is a predicted model, not a curated record. NCBI's taxonomy places the organism in Eukaryota, Metazoa, Chordata, Actinopteri, Perciformes, Serranidae.